CCUACGGGAGGCAGCAGUAGGGAAUUUUCGUCAAUGGGCGCAAGCCUGAACGAGCGAUGCCGCGUGAGUGAAGAAGGCCUUCGGGUCGUAAAGCUCUGUUGCGGGGGAAAAAAGGCAGCAUCAGUAAAUGGGUGCUGACUGAUGGUGCCCCGCCAGAAAGUCACGGCUAACUACGUGCCAGCAGCCGCGGUAAUACGUAGGUGGCGAGCGUUAUCCGGAAGGAUUGGGCGUAAAGGGUGCGCAGGCGGUCCUGCAAGUCUGGAGUGAAACGCAUGAGCUCAACUCAUGCAUGGCUUUGGAAACUGGAGGACUGGAGAGCAGGAGAGGGCGGUGGAACUCCAUGUGUAGCGGUAAAAUGCGUAGAUAUAUGGAAGAACACCAGUGGCGAAGGCGGCCGCCUGGCCUGUUGCUGACGCUGAGGCACGAAAGCGUGGGGAGCAAAUAGGAUUAGAUAUCCCAGUAGUC
RNAcentral lists this ribosomal RNA (465 nucleotides) under uncultured bacterium. RNAcentral describes it as "partial 16S ribosomal RNA". It matches the Rfam family "Bacterial small subunit ribosomal RNA", at positions 338 to 795 of the family's 1533-position model. The record is from RNAcentral.